Molecule: transfer RNA, 74 nt
Filed under: Candidatus Tayloriibacteriota bacterium
Lineage: Bacteria; Candidatus Tayloriibacteriota
Description: tRNA-Asp
Rfam family: tRNA
About the family: Transfer RNA (tRNA) molecules are approximately 80 nucleotides in length. Their secondary structure includes four short double-helical elements and three loops (D, anti-codon, and T loops).
Source: RNAcentral
GCGGAAGUAGCUCAACUGGUUAGAGCACUCGCCUGUCACGUGAGAGGUUGCGGGUUCAAGUCCCGUCUUCCGCG